RNAcentral lists this non-coding RNA (85 nucleotides) under Pseudomonas cedrina. Lineage: Bacteria; Pseudomonadati; Pseudomonadota; Gammaproteobacteria; Pseudomonadales; Pseudomonadaceae. The record is from RNAcentral.
UUUAAUGGUGGCUGUGCGCAGGGCGCCCUCGGGCGCGCCGGGUGGCUCCGACCGGUCGACUAACCUGCGUACAGCCGCCACCUUC